Molecule: ribosomal RNA, 253 nt
Filed under: uncultured bacterium
Lineage: Bacteria
Description: partial 16S ribosomal RNA
Rfam family: Bacterial small subunit ribosomal RNA
Source: RNAcentral
UACGAAGGUGGCAAGCGUUGUUCGGAUUUACUGGGCGUAAAGGGCUCGUAGGCGGCCAACUAAGUCCGACGUGAAAUCCCAAGGCUUAACCUUGGAACUGCGUCGGAUACUGGUUGGCUUGAAUUCGGGAGAGGGAUGCAGAAUUCCAGGUGUAGCGGUGAAAUGCGUAGAUAUCUGGAGGAAUACCGGUGGCGAAGGCGGCAUCCUGGACCGACAUUGACGCUGAGGAGCGAAAGCUAGGGGAGCAAACGGG